GAUCCUGGCUCAGGAUGAACGCUGGCGGCGUGCUUAACACAUGCAAGUCGAGCGAGAAAUCAGUUAUUGACACUUCGGUUGAUUUAACUGGUGGAAAGCGGCGGACGGGUGAGUAACGCGUGGGAAACCUGCCCUUCACAGGGGGACUGCCGAGGGAAACUUCGAUUAAUACCUCAUAACGCAUCAUUGUCGCAUGGCAGCGAUGCCAAAGAUUUUUAUCGGUGAAGGAUGGUCCCGCGUCUGAUUAGCUGGUUGGUGAGGCAGCGGCUCACCCAAGGCGACGAUCAGUAGCCGGCCUGAGAGGGUGAACGGCCACAUUGGAACUGAGACACGGUCCAGACUCCUACGGGAGGCAGCAGUGGGGAAUAUUGCACAAUGGGCGCCAAGCCUGAUGCAGCAACGCCGCGUGAAGGAAGAAGGCCUUCGGGUCGUAAACUUCUGUCCAAAGGGAAGAAGAGUGACGGUACCUUUGGAGGAAGCCCCGGCUAACUACGUGCCAGCCGCCGC
RNAcentral lists this ribosomal RNA (507 nucleotides) under uncultured bacterium. Its description in RNAcentral is "bacterial SSU rRNA". It matches the Rfam family "Bacterial small subunit ribosomal RNA", at positions 15 to 518 of the family's 1533-position model. The record is from RNAcentral.